CGGCAGCGCGCCCCCCUCGCCCCGCGAGCCCAGGCCCCCGCCCCGGGCCAGCCGCCCCGCGUCGCCCCGCAGGAAGUUCAUGAGCACGGUCUCCGCCAUGUCGUCGGCGUUGUGGCCUGGGGGAGAGAGACGGGGAGCCGUCUCAGUUGAAGGUGUUCGUCACACGGCACCGGAGAAGUCAAAGCGGCCGCUAACGGUCAGUGGAGGUUGUCAAGUAGGCUGCUGUCCCAGUGCCGGGGAAUGCGGAUCACCGCGUGCAGGAAGGCCAGCGAGAGCUUCAGUAUUUACUCAACAGUCACCAUAAACGUCACCUAAACGUCUACCUAUUCUGCAUCUUGUCGUCUUAUACUUGGGUCUGUCUGGUCCGACAGACACUGGUCUUCUUGGGGCUUCUCCAGUCGGCCACCCUUCCCCUCCUCAGGGCCUUUGCACCAGCCACCUCCUCUGCUCAGACCCCAACAACUGGGUCUGCCCUUCACUGGUUACUCAGGCGGCCUUCAGGUCAGGCUCACUCAGGAACCACUUCCUAACUCCAGGCUUCCCCCUUCACUGGGUCCUCCUGUUAUAAACUGGCAAAGUCUGUGUGAUUUUUCCUUAGCAGCACUUACCGGGUUAUAAUUAUGGACAUGAUGGGAGGGCAGGGGCAGAGGCUGUCUUGGGCAGCAUCAGGACGCAAACAUCUCUGUGAGGCCUGCUGUUUGCCAGUCUCUGGUCUAAGUGCCUCACACAGCACUCACUUUAUUCCCAACGACCCUGGGACCUCGAUAUUAUUAAUAACCCCGUUUUACAGAUGAGGUAACCGAGGUUAGGUGUUGCUCGAGGCUACAAAGCGUCUGGUACAGAGGAGAUGGUCAACAAUCACGUGUUGAAGCAACGGUUGGGAGAGAGUAAGUUCUCAAGUUCUCAGAGAGAAGAGGCCGACAGAGAAGGGGGGGGGGUCUAAAGAGUUGCGUUUCAGACUACAGAUGGCUUCUGAUGGGUGGUGUCACUUCACUCGCCUCCUUUUGUGAAGGGACACAGAGAAUGUCAUUUUGAAAACUGCAGGGAACACAGCCCCAACCCCCGGAGAGCACCCCUGCACCCCUCCACGGCCAAAGCGAAGGCAGUGACUCAAAGCUUGCCGCGCCCAGCCCCGGCGCGCGCACACUCUGCCCACGCACCUUCAGCGGACGUGCGCACCCCCUUCUCGUGGAGAUCCCCCACUGCGGGCACCCCCGGCGUCUCCUUCACCCCUUGCUGGGCACGCGCCCAGCCCCCUUGCAGCGCCCGCCCCGCGCCCCUCGGCUGCGGCGCCAGCGCUCACCCGUCACGAUGUGCGUGGCUCCCACGAGGCGCGCCCCUUCCUCCAGCGCGCGGCGCCGCAGGACCCCGCAGAAGGUGCAGCAGGCGCGGCUGCGGCCGGAGCCGGCCGUGCUGCGGGCCACGGCGUCCAUUGUCCAGCCCCCGAAGAGGUCGGCGUAGGCCACGACGGUGAGCGGGAGGUCCCAGCGCGCCGCCUGGCGCCGCACGGCCGCCAGCGCCGCGUCCCGGUAGCCGCCGAUGCCCUCGUCCACGGCCACCAGGCGCAGCGAGACGCCCAGGCGCGGCGCCAGCUCGCGCAGCACGUGCGCCAGCACCGUGGAGUCCUUGCCGCCGGAGGCGCCCACGGCCACCACGGCGCCGGGCGGCAGCAGGCGGCCCGCCAGCACCGUGUGCAGCACCUCGGCCUCGAAGGCGGCGCAGAAGCAGGCGCCGCACAGCGCUUGGCCGGAGCGCGGGCGGCGGAGGGCGGCCCGCGCCGCGUGGCAGGAGGCGCACUGCGGGGCGGGCAUCGUGGGUUCCGGGCGGGCGGGCGGGGAGGAGUUGGCUGCCCCUGGACAGGGAGAGAGGGGAGGCAGGUUACGUGCGGAUUCCGGAUUGCGGGGUCGAUGCCUCUGGGAAGCCUGCCUGAAUAGCGCCCAGAGUGCAUAUACCCAUUGCCUGGAACCCUCUCCCAGCACAUGUGCAGGAUUGGCACCUUCAAGUCUCAGCGUAAGCUUUUCAUCAUUCAUUCCUUCAUUCGACAGGUAUCCAUUCAUUGCCUCCCAUCUACCCAAAAUGCGUUCGAUACUGGAACAGCAGUGAACAAAAUAGGAAAGGUUGCAGGCACGACGUUCUAGGGGAGGAGCCAACCCAUGAUAAGUAAAUAACCAAGACACUUGACAAAUAUAAGGAGUAAUAUGAGGGAAUUAUCCUCUGAACUGGGGCCAGAAGGAUGAGAAGGAGUCAGGCAAUUAGAUCAGGGUGGGAAGAAUGUUCCAGAUAGUUAAUAGCAAAGGCAAAGGACCUGAAGGGAAGGGCCUAUAUUCAGUUGUUUGGAAAGUGAGUUAUGGGUGAGGACAAGAGAAGAUCGGGGACUUGGAGGUUGGCAGGGUGAAAAGGUUGGAUUUUAUUCUGAAUCAGCUGAGAACCGUUAGAUGGUUGAAAGCUGUGGAGUGAUAGGAUGUGAUUUAUAUUUUGACAGGAUGCCUCAGGCUGCUGCGUGGGAACAGAGAGUGGAGUGGCGCGGGGCAGACACCGGUAGACCAGUGAGGAGGCUCCUACAAUGGUCCAGAUGAGCCGUAAUGUGGCUAAGGGCUGAGUAGAGGCAGUGGAGAGAAGUGGUCAGAUUCUGGAUCUCUUCUGGAAAUAGAGUAGGUUGGACUCACACGAGACUUGGUUGAACGAGGCAACAGAUGAGAGAAACAGAGGACUGACGACUUCAAGGUUCUGCCUUCAGCACUUGCAAGGAUAGUGGGACCAUUUCAUGGGGAGGACGUGGGAAAGAAGGAAGAAUAGGGGAAUAUUGCGAAAGGUGUAGGUUUAGUCCAGAGAACCUGUAACUUUGUUUGGGCAUGGUAAUUUGGAGGUCCUUUGUUUGCUCUGAAGUCUUUCCUGAAACCUGAUCUGGGUCUGGCGCCUCCUCUGGGCUCUCAUGGCCGCCUGACACCCCCCCGGGCCAGCCCUGAUCACUCUAGAUUGUAACCAGGGCAGAGGAGGCUGCGUUCGAACCGCCCUCAGGUUGAGGGUGGAAGCUAGGAAUCAGAACCUAGACAGGCUCCAAAGCGGGUCAGCAGGGGCACCGGACACAGGCGUUGGAGGAUCGCGGAGAGCGGUGCCAUCUCUCCAGGGAUGCCUACCGGAAUGCGUGGGAAGGUAAGAUGGAGACCCUCAACUCCUACACCGCAGCACGACGAAGAGCGGAGAUCGGCCCGCUGAGGAGGGGAAACUCACGUGAGUAGAACCCGCGCUGGGAAGUCCAGGCUCCGAGAAAACGCGGAAGCCUGUGGAGGGACUACGAUUCCCAGAAGGCUUUGGGUUUACCCGCCUACGACUCCCAGGUGCCGGCGCGGCGGCUUGGCCCGCAUCGCCUUCAGCUGCGAGACCAGCUGGGCACACACGCUGCCAACCUCGCCGUGACGUCACGCUCUCCGCCCAAGGCUCCCAGAGUGCUCCCGGCCAGGCCGGCACGUCUCCCGUCUGCGCCUGCGCAAAAACAGGCCUUCCCACACUGAGGACACGCAUAGGGCGUCUCUCCCGUGUGAAUUCGCCGGUGCACUUGGAGCUGUGGUUUCUUACUGAAGGAUUUCCCGCAGUCCCCGCAUUCGUGAGGCCUCUGUCCGACGUGAGUUCUCCGAUGUGCCAUCAGCUCUGAUUUCUGGCCAAAGGCGGUCCCGCAUGUGUGGCAGGCAAAGGUCUUCCCUCUCGUGUGAGUCAUCUGAUGUUUGUGGAAAUUGGACCUGCCGUUGAAAGCCUUCCCACACUCGGCGCACACGUAGGGUUUCUCACCCGUGUGGACCCGCUGGUGCUCUCUGAACUGUGACUUGGAGGUGAAGGCUCUCCCGCAGUCGCUGCACUUGUAGGGCUUCUCUCCAGUGUGGGUGCGCUGGUGCAUGUUGAGGAUGGACUUCUGGGUGAAGGCCUUGCCGCAGUCACGGCACACAUGCUGUCUCUCUCCCGUGUGGAUCUUCCGGUGCAUGUUGAGGUGUGACUUCUGCGUGAAGGCUUUUGCACAGUCACGGCACUCGUACGGCUUCUCGCCGGUGUGGAUGCGGCGAUGUAUGUCGAGCUGCGACUUGCAAAUGAAGGCUCUCCCGCAGUCGCUGCACUUGUAGGGCUUCUCUCCGGUGUGGCUUCUCUGAUGCACGGUCAGGUGGGCCUUCUGCACGAAGGCCUGGCCGCACGCGAGGCACGCGUAGGCCUUCUCCCCCGAGUGGAUCCUCCGGUGCAGGCUGAGCGCGGACUUCUGGGUGAAGGCCUUCCCACACUCGCCGCACGCAUACUGCCGCUCGCCGGCGUGGAUUUUCUGAUGGAUGGCAAGGGUGGACUUCUGGGAGAAGCCUUUCCCACACUCGCCGCACUCGUAGAGCUUCCCUCGAGUGUGGGUUCUCUGGUGUCUGAAGAGAGAUAAUGCCUGGAAAAAGGCUUUUCCACAUUCCUGGCAUUUGUGGGGCUUCUGUCUGGCGUGGCUUUUCUGGUGUGUCGUCAGUUCCGACCUCUGAGCGAAGACUUUCCCGCACUCCUUACAUAUGUACGGAACGUGUCCUGCAUGAGCGGGCAGAUACGCGCCGAGGUCUGGCCACAGGGCAAGGCUCGUCGUGCAUUUCCCGCUCUCCUGGAGGUUUUCCACGCUGUGGAAUCUCUGCUGCUCGAGGGGUGGCUUCUGGCCGAAGCCCCUGCCACAUUCGGCACAUUUAUCGGGUUUCUCCCAGGUAUGAACUCGAUGUUGUGCGUGUGGCGGUUUACGGCUGCCGACUUUCAUAUGUGGAUUCCCUUCACACAGGUUCUCUCCUGGACGAACGUUCUCGUAGCCAGGACCGGAAGGGCUAUGGGGGAGUAGCCGGCCAGAGCCGACAGUCCCAUCGAGGUGUUCUGUGCCGUCGCUUUGCUUUUGAGGACUUCCUUCUAGGUUGGGCUUCAAACUUUUCGCAAAUGAGCCACGUUUAGGAGGUCUUUUUUGUGGAGAAACAAGAUGGGGCCUCACAGGAGCGAUUUUUCCCGGGUCUUUACACCCGCGGUCUCUCUCUGUAUCCGGUGUUUCCCUACUGAGGAGAGCCCCGUGCCGCGAAGGUUUCCCUUGCUUCUGCAGACCCCUCGUUGUGGGGUUCACAUCUCCCAAGACGGAGCACCCUGACCCGCCUCCCGGGGCCGCAAGUUCCUUACCGUCGCGAAACGAAGCUUUUUCAAAAAUUUUCUGUCGUGAGGUUUUGAGUCCAAACUCCCCUUCUAGAAGGAGAAAAAGAUGAAGAGGUAGGCACAAGUUAACAGAGGAAGGAGGACACGUCAGAGGAGCGGAUGGAGACCGAACACAGAAAUUGCAAGUCGCAGGAUAAUGACGGGGGCGAGGCUGGUGAUGACGAGGAAACAGCCACAGACUUUACUGCGUGUCAGCCUGUCUGCGGACAGCACGACCGCGUGCCAGACCGUGCGACAUCGUGCCACAGAAACUCCUUCAACCCUCACACCCCUCCAUGCGUAACGGCACUUACUACCCCUGUCUCACGGAGGAGGAGGUGCAGCAUAAGGAACUGACCACAGUCACCUCGCUGAGCUCUGGCGGGAGUCAGAUUCAAACAAGGGCAGCCUGGCUCCACUUCCGCGGGCAGACGGUCCAGAGACCCACAGAUACGCACACCUAUGGACGACUCCAGGAAACACGGACACGGGCAGCAUGGGGCAACGGCCGGGGCGGGCCGGAGGGGCUCGGCGGCCAGCUCUUCGUUAGCUUUCGGAUCUAAGUCGUGACUCAUCCCCCAUCUCCCCCCGCUUGUCAGAAGGUGGAUUUGGUGAGUCCACCCGCCCUACGUGUCGUCUGCAAAACGGAGACGGCACCAGCCCUGACAUGGCCAAGCAGCAAGAGGGUACCGCUGCCCAAAGGCAACUCUCCAGGAAGCUGAAAUCUGUUUGCUUGAACCUAGAAAUGAACUUACAACCCAGGAAAGGAACACUGGAAGAGUGGACAAGCAAGCUGUCCCCCGAAAUCUGUGUCACCGUCUUUCAUAGAAGUUAACCGUGACCAGGUACGUGCCUGCCAAGCUACGUAACCGUUCUCAACGUCCUUUGUGAUGAGAUGUGACCGGGAGACAGUUUUGGCUGAUGGAAUACGCAUACGACAUGAUGCACCAAUUCCGGCCCCGGGGGGAAAGACCACAGCUUCUCGAUACCCCGCACCCCCCUUCUGCCUCACAGAACCUGCCUUGGGAUGCAGUGCACAUUCAGUUGCGCACAUCGACAGAAAAACUGAGAGCUUUCCCCCGAGAUCAGGGACGCGACAGGGAUGUCCACUCUCACUGUUGCUGUUUAACAUAGUGUUGGAAGUCCGAGCCUCAGCAAUCAGACAACAAGACAAAAUAUUAGGCAUCCAACUUGGCAAAGAAGUCAAACUUGCACUCUUCACGGAUGACAGGACACUCUACGUGGAAAACCCAAAAGACUCCACCAGUCAUGCACAUGGACAGUGUAAUAAAGCACAGUGCAACAGCUAGGGAAAACCUUAAACACCCGGAGAAUACAAGAAGUGAGGCUUCCUGCUCAACUGCCUUUUGAACUUUUUACAGGAGAGAAAAGUAUUCUAGAAAUUACUAAACUGAACCUUGGUCUCUUUGUAGAACUUUCAGCCUUAUGCUAACCUAAUGUAUCGUUUUUUAUCCACCAAGAACAGGAGUCAUCGCUCAUUCAGUUGACUAGUAUAGAACACAAGAUGCAAGAGAUGCUGAACAGAAAAGGAAGGAGCGCCUGGGUGGCUCAGUCACUUACGUGUCCAACUUCGGCUCAGGUCAUGAUCUCAUGGUUUGUGAGUUCAAGCCCCGCGUCAGGCUCUGUGCUGACAGCUCAGAGCCUGGAGCCUGCUUCGGAUUCUGUGUCUCCCUCUCUCUCUGCCCCUUCCCUACUCGUGCUCUCUCUCUCUC
Long non-coding RNA from Acinonyx jubatus (cheetah), 6905 nucleotides. RefSeq lists it as uncharacterized. Lineage: Eukaryota; Metazoa; Chordata; Mammalia; Carnivora; Felidae. The transcript has 3 exons. The record is from RefSeq and is a predicted model, not a curated record.